Molecule: long non-coding RNA, 728 nt
Organism: Callithrix jacchus (white-tufted-ear marmoset)
Lineage: Eukaryota; Metazoa; Chordata; Mammalia; Primates; Cebidae
Source: RefSeq, a predicted model, not a curated record
CCAUGCAGGGGCGGUGGGAGCGGCGGGCCCGGGACAGGUAGGCCGGUCACGGGAGGGACUGCAGCCGAACGCGCUCCAGGAAAGAUCCGUCUGAAGGUGGCGCUGGCCCGCAGCCCGGUGGCCUGCACCGCCUCCGUUGUUCCCAGUCGCCUGCUUUUCUGUGACCUGGGAGCCCAGAAACACCCCCAUCGCUCCCUCUGGACUCUGCGCGCCCGCCGCCUAAGCAAGGGAAAAGAAAACGGAAAACCUCUCUUUGUCCCCAGAAGCGUGAUCUACCGUAUUGAGCGCUCAUUUUCUGAAGCAUCUGCUACACACUCUUCCACCUCCUGCAGGAAAGCCCAGUUGGAAGAAAACUCGAACACAAGAACUCCCAUUCAUUUUGUUUUACCUUGGCCUUUUAGGGAAAUACUUCUUGGGGUUUUUUUUUUAAGUACGUUCAAAAAGUAUUGGCAACAUUAGAAAGUAUAAAUGUAUGAGAGACCCAAAUAACUUUGAAUUCUACACAACAAAUGCAAGGAAAACGUUUGGAGUCAGUGGGGGAAAACCAUCCUCAGAUUUUGCCACGGAGGAGGACUACAAGUGGAUUGGAUGGCUCACUACACCAUAGAGACUGCAUUCCAGAAUUCAGAGUUACAAUGUCUUUGCUACAUGCUUAAAAUAGGAACCUGACUACCAGAUAUGUAAGGAAUUUGUGAGUAAAAAUAAACCACUGCUGCCUGUGCAUAUUA